RNAcentral lists this ribosomal RNA (736 nucleotides) under uncultured eukaryote. Its description in RNAcentral is "SSU rRNA". It matches the Rfam family "Eukaryotic small subunit ribosomal RNA", at positions 671 to 1426 of the family's 1831-position model. The record is from RNAcentral.
GGUGUGCACUGUCGUGUCCGGGUCUACGUCUGGUUUCAAUCUAUAGUGCUCUUAACCGGGUGCUAUAAAAUGCCAGAAAGUUUACUCUGAAAAAAUUAGAGUGCUUAAAGCAAGCCGUUGUGCUUGGAUACUGUUGCAUGGAAUAAUGGAUAGGACUUCGGAUCUAUUUUGUGUGUCGGAGUCGAGGUAAUGAUUAGAGGGACAGACGGGGGCAUUCGUAUGCGCCGUUAGAGGUGAAAUUCUUGGAUCGGCGCAAGACGAACAACUGCGAAAGCAUUUGCCAAGGAUGUUUUCAUUAAUCAAGAACGAAAGUCAGAGGUUCGAAGACGAUCAGAUACCGUCGUAGUUCUGACCAUAAACGAUGCCAACUGGCGAUCCGCCGUAGUCUGGCUUAAAGGACUCGGCGGGCAGCCUCCGGGAAACCUAAGUCUAUGGGUUCCGGGGGAAGUAUGGUUGCAAAGCUGAAACUUAAAGGAAUUGACGGAAGGGCACCACCAGGAGUGGAGCCUGCGGCUUAAUUUGACUCAACACGGGAAAACUCACCCGGCCAGGACACCGUAAGGAUUGACAGACUGAGAGCUCUUUCUUGAUUCGGUGGGUGGUGGUGCAUGGCCGUUCUUAGUUGGUGGAGCGAUUUGUCUGGUUAAUUCCGAUAACGAACGAGACUCUAGCCUGCUAAAUAGACGGGCGAUCCCAUUGUGGGUCGACCCGAUCAGCUUCUUAGAGGGACAAGUGG